AAAUGGGAUUUAUAUCCCUUCCUCAAAGACAGCUCUCCUUAGCCUCUGAAGAAGCAUUAUACAUGCGAAACGUCAGGCUUUUUUUCCCUUUUCGUUUGACACAGUGAAUUCAUUGAAAUUUGCUUUUUGAAAAUUUGUAUUAUAUUCUUUUAAUAAUAAAGGUACAUUUUAAUCCAGCUAUUGGGAGGAAACAAGAUACAACUUAAGAACUAACAACCGAAGACAACUGAAGAACCAACAACUGAAAACCUAAAAAGACAAUCCAGAAAUUAAGAAGACAAGAAGACAACGAACAACAUAAGCUACCUGGGUCGCUCCCAGCCGACACAAAAAGGAUAAUGAAUCCAUAAAACUUUAAAGGAAUCCACCACUUCAACGGUAUAACAGUCAAAUUGGUUGUAACAUCCACCUGGGCUAAUACCCCUCUUUUCAGGCUCUAUCACCCACAGAAGGCGGCUUUCCGUUUAACAAUAGUGCCUUCCAGACAGCAGUUCGUUGGGCCCAACACAGGUACAAGCACAAAUUACGUGACAGUACAGUCCCCAUAGUGCAAUCACUGUUAGAGGACCCACCAUCCACUAGUGCUUCAGAACCAGUAACCAGGGUUCAUUCCCUUUCUCCUAUCACAACCCCCGAGACUGAAAAUAACCCAGUUUUAGUUCAGGCCAGACGAUCUACUCCAGCCUCAGCCUCACGUCCCACAGCCAGAGCCAAGACAAGCUUACCAACUUUAGGGUCUUCCCCACACGUCCUAGCCGAGACACUACCAUCCACUCUGGCAUCCAGGCUGACUCAAUCCCCCUUAGUAAGGGUACAACGACCAGCACCGAGACUUGGAGCUAUUAAAGCACCAACUUUGUCUCCUAGGUCUGUCAGUAACAAACCAAUAUCUUCUCCAGGUUUGGUUUUGCCCUCAAGGGGAACUGUUUCCAUACCCGUAGCUUCGACAUUGAUUAAGGCUCCAGAUAACAUACCGCCCAUACCCUCCCCAACUCCCAAUAGGGUCACUCUUGCCUACCCCCAGUUCACUUCCCCACCACCUGACCUUGAUGAAUUCAUAGUAGACUUUGAACUUAGAGAGGAAGAAUUUCCCACUCUCCAGUCAAUUAUGGUACAGACAAAGCACACCAUAGCCCAGACCAAGACCAUCACAGUCCAGGCGCAGGUGAUACACAGACCCUGCAGCCAACUUGACUCCUGGAGUGCCCCCACAUUGACUAGAGCAAUGGAGACCGCACAAUCACCCCAAACACCAAUUAUCAGCAAUGUAGCGAUUCAAUCCGAUCUAAACAUUUCUGACCUCUCUGGGUCAGAAACUAACAUUUCCACUCUUGCUCCCACAGAGGCUCAACCAAAUAUACACCCUAACCCUGCUGAGGCGGUGAUUAUGGAAAGAGGAGUAAAGGUGGAAAAAGUUGUGAUGAUGGGAGAAAACAAAGGGAAAAUCAAUCCCAACAGUUUCCUGUCUGAACCUUCCCCAA
Non-coding RNA from Salmo salar (Atlantic salmon), 1481 nucleotides. The record is from RefSeq and is a predicted model, not a curated record. Lineage: Eukaryota; Metazoa; Chordata; Actinopteri; Salmoniformes; Salmonidae.